Molecule: long non-coding RNA, 127 nt
Organism: Sander lucioperca (pikeperch)
Lineage: Eukaryota; Metazoa; Chordata; Actinopteri; Perciformes; Percidae
Exons: 3
Source: RefSeq, a predicted model, not a curated record
CACAGUAAUGAUUGGAAUUCCCGCCCAUACACCCACCCGAACCAAUUGCGAGUCAAUCUCAGCUGUCAAUCAUGAUGUUUCACCCCGUUUUUAUAGCAUCAAAUAACUAAUAAAAACCAAACUGAUC